Molecule: ribosomal RNA, 390 nt
Filed under: uncultured bacterium
Lineage: Bacteria
Description: bacterial SSU rRNA
Rfam family: Bacterial small subunit ribosomal RNA
Source: RNAcentral
AUUGAACGCUGGCGGCAUGCCUUACACAUGCAAGUCGAACGGCAGCGGGCCUUCGGGUGCCGGCGAGUGGCGAACGGGUGAGUAAUGCAUCGGAACGUGCCAUUGAGUGGGGGAUAACGUAGCGAAAGUUGCGCUAAUACCGCAUAUUCUGUGAGCAGGAAAGCAGGGGACCGCAAGGCCUUGCGCUCUUUGAGCGGCCGAUGUCAGAUUAGCUAGUUGGUGAGGUAAAGGCUUACCAAGGCGACGAUCUGUAGCGGGUCUGAGAGGAUGAUCCGCCACACUGGAACUGAGACACGGUCCAGACUCCUACGGGAGGCAGCAGUGGGGAAUUUUUGGACAAUGGGGGGCAACCCUGAUCCAGCCAUGCCGCGUGAGUGAAGAAGGCCUCGG